Molecule: long non-coding RNA, 252 nt
Filed under: Ananas comosus (pineapple)
Lineage: Eukaryota; Viridiplantae; Streptophyta; Magnoliopsida; Poales; Bromeliaceae
Description: long non-coding RNA (ACOM_LNC037057)
Source: RNAcentral
AAUAUAGUAUGCAUUUUAGGUAUUUGAUCAGAUUCCUCAUUUAUCAAAUGCAGCAUACUUUUUCUAGGGCAUGUUUGGUUGCCCGUAAGUGAAACAACAAAAAUGGUAUUUUGACGAAUGGGAUUAUUUCGGUUGUUUGGAUUAUAAAAGUAAACAUGUAAGUGACUUUUGAAAAGUGAACCCGUGAAAUGGUUUAUAACUAAAAUCCACUUUUUUGACUUCGGCAAAAAAAAAUCAAAGUCGUUGAAAGUG